AAACCGGAGGAAGGUGGGGAUGACGUCAAGUCAGCAUGGCCUUUAUAUCCUGGGCUACACACACGCUACAAUGGGAAGGGACAAUAGGUUGCGAAGCCGCGAGGCGGAGCCAAUCCAGCAAAACUUCCCUCAGUUCAGAUUGCAGGCUGCAACUCGCCUGCAUGAAGUUGGAGUUGCUAGUAAACGCAGGUCAGCCAUACUGCGUUGAAUACGUUCCCGGGGCUU
This 225-nucleotide ribosomal RNA is filed under the name uncultured Anaerolineaceae bacterium. RNAcentral's name for it is "partial 16S ribosomal RNA". It matches the Rfam family "Bacterial small subunit ribosomal RNA", at positions 1160 to 1382 of the family's 1533-position model. The record is from RNAcentral. Lineage: Bacteria; Bacillati; Chloroflexota; Anaerolineae; Anaerolineales; Anaerolineaceae.